Molecule: ribosomal RNA, 1572 nt
Filed under: Escherichia coli
Lineage: Bacteria; Pseudomonadati; Pseudomonadota; Gammaproteobacteria; Enterobacterales; Enterobacteriaceae
Description: partial 23S ribosomal RNA
Rfam family: Bacterial large subunit ribosomal RNA
Source: RNAcentral
GGUUAAGCGACUAAGCGUACACGGUGGAUGCCCUGGCAGUCAGAGGCGAUGAAGGACGUGCUAAUCUGCGAUAAGCGUCGGUAAGGUGAUAUGAACCGUUAUAACCGGCGAUUUCCGAAUGGGGAAACCCAGUGUGUUUCGACACACUAUCAUUAACUGAAUCCAUAGGUUAAUGAGGCGAACCGGGGGAACUGAAACAUCUAAGUACCCCGAGGAAAAGAAAUCAACCGAGAUUCCCCCAGUAGCGGCGAGCGAACGGGGAGCAGCCCAGAGCCUGAAUCAGUGUGUGUGUUAGUGGAAGCGUCUGGAAAGGCGCGCGAUACAGGGUGACAGCCCCGUACACAAAAAUGCACAUACUGUGAGCUCGAUGAGUAGGGCGGGACACGUGGUAUCCUGUCUGAAUAUGGGGGGACCAUCCUCCAAGGCUAAAUACUCCUGACUGACCGAUAGUGAACCAGUACCGUGAGGGAAAGGCGAAAAGAACCCCGGCGAGGGGAGUGAAAAAGAACCUGAAACCGUGUACGUACAAGCAGUGGGAGCACGCUUCGGCGUGUGACUGCGUACCUUUUGUAUAAUGGGUCAGCGACUUAUAUUCUGUAGCAAGGUUAACCGAAUAGGGGAGCCGAAGGGAAACCGAGUCUUAACUGGGCGUUAAGUUGCAGGGUAUAGACCCGAAACCCGGUGAUCUAGCCAUGGGCAGGUUGAAGGUUGGGUAACACUAACUGGAGGACCGAACCGACUAAUGUUGAAAAAUUAGCGGAUGACUUGUGGCUGGGGGUGAAAGGCCAAUCAAACCGGGAGAUAGCUGGUUCUCCCCGAAAGCUAUUUAGGUAGCGCCUCGUGAAUUCAUCUCCGGGGGUAGAGCACUGUUUCGGCAAGGGGGUCAUCCCGACUUACCAACCCGAUGCAAACUGCGAAUACCGGAGAAUGUUAUCACGGGAGACACACGGCGGGUGCUAACGUCCGUCGUGAAGAGGGAAACAACCCAGACCGCCAGCUAAGGUCCCAAAGUCAUGGUUAAGUGGGAAACGAUGUGGGAAGGCCCAGACAGCCAGGAUGUUGGCUUAGAAGCAGCCAUCAUUUAAAGAAAGCGUAAUAGCUCACUGGUCGAGUCGGCCUGCGCGGAAGAUGUAACGGGGCUAAACCAUGCACCGAAGCUGCGGCAGCGACACUAUGUGUUGUUGGGUAGGGGAGCGUUCUGUAAGCCUGUGAAGGUGUGCUGUGAGGCAUGCUGGAGGUAUCAGAAGUGCGAAUGCUGACAUAAGUAACGAUAAAGCGGGUGAAAAGCCCGCUCGCCGGAAGACCAAGGGUUCCUGUCCAACGUUAAUCGGGGCAGGGUGAGUCGACCCCUAAGGCGAGGCCGAAAGGCGUAGUCGAUGGGAAACAGGUUAAUAUUCCUGUACUUGGUGUUACUGCGAAGGGGGGACGGAGAAGGCUAUGUUGGCCGGGCGACGGUUGUCCCGGUUUAAGCGUGUAGGCUGGUUUUCCAGGCAAAUCCGGAAAAUCAAGGCUGAGGCGUGAUGACGAGGCACUACGGUGCUGAAGCAACAAAUGCCCUGCUUCCAGGAAAAG